Molecule: ribosomal RNA, 433 nt
Filed under: uncultured bacterium
Lineage: Bacteria
Description: partial 16S ribosomal RNA
Rfam family: Bacterial small subunit ribosomal RNA
Source: RNAcentral
AACGAACGCUGGCGGCAUGCCUAACACAUGCAAGUCGAACGAGACCUUCGGGUCUAGUGGCGCACGGGUGCGUAACGCGUGGGAACCUGCCCUUAGGUUCGGAAUAACUCCCCGAAAGGGGUGCUAAUACCGGAUAAUGUCUUCGGACCAAAGAUUUAUCGCCUUUGGAUGGGCCCGCGUUGGAUUAGCUAGUUGGUAGGGUAAAAGCCUACCAAGGCGACGAUCCAUAGCUGGUCUGAGAGGAUGACCAGCCACACUGGGACUGAGACACGGCCCAGAACCCUACGGGAGGCAGCAGUGGGGAAUAUUGGACAAUGGGCGGAAGUCCGAUACCGCCAUGCCGGGUGAGUGAUGAAGGGCUUAGGGUUGUAAAGCUCUUUUACCCGGGAUGAUAAUGACAGUACCGGGAGAAUAAGCACCGGCUAACUCCGUG